UUUAUUCUGUCAAUUUUUCAUUCUUCUCCUAGGCUUCUUUUGUUUAAAAUAAUUUAGAAUUUGGUGAAUGAUUUUUAGUUCUCACAAGUAAUUCUUUUUCAUAGCUAGCUUUGAACUGGUAACUGCAUUCUCAUUGGAAAACUUCACUUUCUAGUUUAUAAGCAUUCAGUUAGUUUUAGAAAUCUCAAUGUGCAUUUUCUGUAUUCAACUAAUGGACAGCGAUGUUGGGUUUAGGUUAACAGGUAUUUCUGUGCUAUCUCACGUAUUUUUUGUUUUUUUUCUUUCCUUCUAGAGUUGGUACCAAAUUAAAUCGGUAGUUCGCUACAAAAGGCACGAAUGCAUCAGAAGUUUGUUGUUUGAUUAGAUCUGAAUGAUCACUCUAUUGUUACCACAGGAGCUUCUGUUGUGGAAAAGGAUGAUGUUUUGAAGGGGGGUUUUGGUGGGAGUAAAGCGUAUGGUGAUUUAUCAAAAUGUGGGAAGCCUGCUAUGACUGAGGAAUCAUCACAAAAGCAACAGCCUUCUGACAUUGACGAAAGUAAUAUCAAAAGGAAAGGAGGGGUUGUUACAGAGGAAGAUAUAGCAGAUGAAGAUUCUGAUUAUGAUUAUGAUUUUUUUGAUGAACAUGUCGUGAAGAGGUCUGAUCCAACUGAGGAAGAAAUCUUGGAGAUUAUGGCGCACGAGCACGAUCAUAGGAUCGAGAUGUAUUGAAUUACAGGAAAAGGCUUUGAAGGGGGAGUAUGCAUUUCAGAAUCCAGCUGAUUCUCCACUUUUCAUGUUGGCCCUGGGAGGAGGAAUUUGAGAGCAAGCCGAUGGAUGUAUCAGAGUUGUUGGAAAUAUUAGAUUCAUUGAAAGAAUUAGGAGAAGUUGAUGGAACAUAUGAGUGUGUAGAUGCAGCAACAGUUCUUGGCUAAAGCAGCCUUCAGGGAGGGGGUUGGCUUUUUUAAUUGAGCAGAGUUCGAUCUGGUUAUUGUUUCUUUUGGUUUUUAGUUAACUUGACAUCUGAAGGUAGAACUCUGUAUUCCAAAACUAUAUGGUGAUGAAUGUUUGUUUUGUUCAAUUCACAUGAGUAAUUGUCUUAUUUGUUGAUCAACUCGAUUAAUGGUGUAUCUGAUUAUAAAUUGCAGUUCAUAAUUUUCUGUGUUGCCUUGUAUUAUCAAUAAAAUUUGUGUAUAAAUUACACACA
This is a long non-coding RNA of Rosa rugosa (rugosa rose), 1183 nucleotides long. RefSeq lists it as uncharacterized. Lineage: Eukaryota; Viridiplantae; Streptophyta; Magnoliopsida; Rosales; Rosaceae. The transcript is spliced from 3 exons. The record is from RefSeq and is a predicted model, not a curated record.